This 676-nucleotide ribosomal RNA is filed under the name uncultured Curvibacter sp. RNAcentral's name for it is "bacterial SSU rRNA". It matches the Rfam family "Bacterial small subunit ribosomal RNA", at positions 94 to 765 of the family's 1533-position model. The record is from RNAcentral. Lineage: Bacteria; Pseudomonadati; Pseudomonadota; Betaproteobacteria; Burkholderiales; Comamonadaceae.
AGUGGCGAACGGGUGAGUAAAGUAUCGGAACGUGCCCAGUCGUGGGGGAUAACGUAGCGAAAGUUACGCUAAUACCGCAUACGAUCUAUGGAUGAAAGCGGGGGAUCGCAAGACCUCGCGCGAUUGGAGCGGCCGAUAUCAGAUUAGGUAGUUGGUGGGGUAAAGGCUCACCAAGCCGACGAUCUGUAGCUGGUCUGAGAGGACGACCAGCCACACUGGGACUGAGACACGGCCCACACUCCUACGGGAGGCAGCAGUGGGGAAUUUUGGACAAUGGGCGCAAGCCUGAUCCAGCCAUGCCGCGUGCAGGAUGAAGGCCUUCGGGUUGUAAACUGCUUUUGUACGGAACGAAAAGGUUUGGCCUAAUAAGCUGAGCUCAUGACGGUACCGUAAGAAUAAGCACCGGCUAACUACGUGCCAGCAGCCGCGGUAAUACGUAGGGUGCGAGCGUUAAUCGGAAUUACUGGGCGUAAAGCGUGCGCAGGCGGUUAUGUAAGACAGAUGUGAACUCCCCGGGCUCAACCUGGGAACUGCAUUAGUGACUGCAUAGCUGGAGUACGGCAGAGGGGGGAUGGAAUUCCGCGUGUAGCAGUGAAAUGCGUAGAUAUGCGGAGGAACACCGAUGGCGAAGGCCAUCCCCUGGGUCUGUACUGACGCUCAUGCACGAAAGCGUGGA